UUCUCCCUCAAACGGUUUGAAGGUUAGAGAUCCCUUGUUGCGCAUUCACUUGCCUCCAUGGCUAAAUGGCUUAACCCCAACUAUGCUGUGGACACCCGCGAAUGGAGUGACUUUGACAUAAUCAAAGAUCAAGGACCUAACCACAAGACAACUAUGAUGCCUCAGGUCAAAUGACCACUUUGCAUUAUCCCAACCAUGAGUUAUCAUGUGACAUGAGUAUGAGAACUCAUCGUUGAUCGUGUUUAGUGGACUCAUUCGCUAUUGAGCACCUACAUGCUUGUCUUGGUGUCAAUCACACGAAUGACUCGAGACCAGUUACUCUCCAUGAGAGAAGACACAUCACGUACUGAUCUUAACGGACUGUCAAUGCCCAAUUGGCAAUCCUAUGAUCAUGAACGUUUAGGAUAUGUAUACGAAAGAGAAUGGUCUCAUAAAUCUAACUUGUUUAAAUUACAUUCUCCUAAUUACAUAUUUCUUGGACUUAUCGUUUAAGCAUAUAACAUUUAUAUGAGACGGCUUAAAACAAUAAUCUUUGCCCUUGAUAUUAAACUAGAUUAGUUUAACAAGUGAAAUGUCUGUAAAGUAUCAUCACAUGAUUGGUUUUAGGGCACAUUUCAAACAAUCUCCCACUUGCACUAGAGCCAAUCAGCUUGGUCAUCAGUGAUGAUACCUUUUCUUUAGUCAUUUCAAAAAUGGCUAAGUAGUAGGCCUAGACAAUGGAUAUCUAUAUGUUAUCCAUAGAAGCAACCUUGAGAAUAACGACGUCACCAUUAUACAUGAUUCUCAAUCAUGUGGUUCAGUCUCUCAUUUGAGUUCGGAUCUUGAUGAGACCUUGAUUCCCUGGCUUGAGCUAUCUCCUCAUUAGUGUCGUAGUAUCAGUACACUAGAGACACUUUCUGGUUGGAACCGAAUAGAGAGUUCAUAAAUGAACUUUCCCAUCCAAACAACAUUGUUGUAAGCUUCUUUAAGGCAAUAUAUUUUUGCAUUCAUAAUGGAACACACUAAAGUCAUUACUUUUAAUGUUUCCAUCCAAAUAUCUCUUUAGUCAUAAUAAAGAGAUAUCUGAUUAUCUCUUCAUUCAUAAUGAAGAAACAUCCAAUGAUGGAUUAGAUUCAUAAUCUAAUACAUUUACGCUUCCAUUACGUUACUCUAAUUCUUCCUCAUUCUUUGAGGAAUCUAUCCUUUAGUAUUUCUUAAAUACUCAAGGACUCACUUGACAGUUGUCAUGGUUCUGAUCCUGGGCUUGCACUAAUAUCGUCUUGUACCUUUCUAGGUACAUCUCAUAUCAAUGUUUUCAUACAAUAUGAAAUACAUAAAUCACUUUUCUGCGUAUGCAUAAAGGAUUCUAUUUACGCAUUAUUUCUUUGGGAGUCAAAGGGUACGUUCCCUUUGGGAAUGGCAACUUGCUAGUCUUACUAGAGUCGUCCUUCUAAUUGAAGUUUAUCAUCAUAUGAGAAACUUCCUAGCAUCUUUUGUCUAUUAUUAGGGAUUGAUAUAAUCAAAUUAUAUCUUGAAAUCUAUCAUUAUAGAUUUACAUCCCAUGUUUAUAGACUAUGUCUCCCAUAUACAUUCUAUCGUUAUAGAAUGUUUAAAGUCAUAACUUUAACGAAGAAGUAUUCUUUUCAUUUCCAAAAUUAAUAUAUCAUAUAUAUGUAUAUAUAUAUAUUCAAAUUUAGGAACAUGAUUAACUCCCACUAAUCUUUUGUAAACCUAGUAAACAAAAGAUUCAUUUACAUCUUUAUGAGAAAUCAAACAAUUUGAUAUUUCUCUCAUAAGACGCUUAUAGCUCCCACUAGCUUGCUAAGAUCCAUGAUGGAUGGAUCUCUACAACUUACAUGUCUUGUGAUUCAUAGUUUUAGACAUCUAUUAUCAAGACUAUCUUAAUAAUGGUUUCAGAAACCCAUAGUAUGUCCAAACAUUGAAUCACCAUUUAGUUGUAGCUAGCAAUCUUUGAAUUAAUUGAAACCAAGACUACGUCAAAGAUGGUUUCUUCCAAGUCAACCAAUCCCUUUGAUUGUAGUCACCUUAAGCUACCAAUUAGCUAUGAAGGUUUCAUUAUUUCUGGUCAAAUGGUACUUUACCAUUUCCUUGAGUAUAUAUCGUAUAUACACUCAAUGCAGUCAUAAGGAUUUUUCAUUCUUAUUUCUUUCGAAUUAAGAGGUGCAACUCUAUGACAUAGUCAUAAAGUUCAAACCAUUCAACUGAGACGGUUUAUAAAUCCUUCUCGACUACCUUGGAGCUUGUGGUAUAGGAACUAGGUUGUUAUAUUUGUUGAUCACUAUCUUGUUUCUCAAAGAACCCAUUCUUUGAGUUCUAUCCCUCGUUCAUUUGCUCUUAGGCAAACCAUAUUGUAGGAUUACAAUGAACUACCCAACAAACAACAUUUGUUAGUUGGUUUAUAGAAGUGAUAUCCAAAUGUUAAUAUAAGGAUACCCACAAGAUAAUUUCUUUAAACAAAUAUUGCUUAUUUAGCACACAACCCCAAAUCUUAACACGAUUAAGACUUGUUUUUCUUUCCAACUACAUCAUAUGGAGUCAUGAAAAUUUUGGAAGAUCUUCUAAUUGACAAUCAUAUUGUCUUUAGAAGUAUAUAUCCUAUAUAUGGGUAAUUGAUAACAUCCAACGAACUAAAUCUCAUUCAAGUUCAUUCUUCUCUUAAUGGAGAAAUCCAUUAUCAUAUGAUGCUUCUUUCCUUGAUAUCUUUCAAGGAAACUGUUCUAAAGUGUUACCUUCCCUUGGAUCAAAUCUAA
Molecule: long non-coding RNA, 2750 nt
Filed under: Malus domestica (apple)
Lineage: Eukaryota; Viridiplantae; Streptophyta; Magnoliopsida; Rosales; Rosaceae
Description: long non-coding RNA (MDOM_LNC006384)
Source: RNAcentral